RNAcentral lists this ribosomal RNA (885 nucleotides) under uncultured bacterium. RNAcentral describes it as "bacterial SSU rRNA". It matches the Rfam family "Bacterial small subunit ribosomal RNA", at positions 8 to 916 of the family's 1533-position model. The record is from RNAcentral.
AGAGUUUGAUCCUGGCUCAGAACGAACGCUGGCGGCAGGCUUAACACAUGCAAGUCGAACGCGUGUAGCAAUACACGAGUGGCGCACGGGUGAGUAACGCGUGGAUAUCUGCCUUUUGGUUCGGAAUAACCCCGGGAAACUGGGGCUAAUACCGGAUGGUUCCUUCGGGAUAAAGAUUUAUCGCCAAAAGAUGAGUCCGCGUACGAUUAGCUAGUUGGUGGGGUAAAGGCUCACCAAGCCGACGAUCUGUAGCUGGUCUGAGAGGACGACCAGCCACACUGGGACUGAGACACGGCCCAGACUCCUACGGGAGGCAGCAGUGGGGAAUUUUGGACAAUGGGCGCAAGCCUGAUCCAGCCAUUCCGCGUGCAGGAUGAAGGCCCUCGGGUUGUAAACUGCUUUUGUACGGAACGAAACGGCCUCUUCUAAUACAGGGGGCUAAUGACGGUACCGUAAGAAUAAGCACCGGCUAACUGCGUGCCAGCAGCCGCGGUAAUACGUAGGGUGCAAGCGUUAAUCGGAAUUACUGGGCGUAAAGCGUGCGCAGGCGGUUAUGUAAGACAGGUGUGAAAUCCCCGGGCUUAACCUGGGAACUGCAUUUGUGACUGCAUAGCUAGAGUACGGUAGAGGGGGAUGGAAUUCCGCGUGUAGCAGUGAAAUGCGUAGAUAUGCGGAGGAACACCGAUGGCGAAGGCAAUCCCCUGGACCUGUACUGACGCUCAUGCACGAAAGCGUGGGGAGCAAACAGGAUUAGAUACCCUGUAGUCCACGCCCUAAACGAUGUCAACUGGUUGUUGGGUCUUCACUGACUCAGUAACGAAGCUAACGCGUGAAGUUGACCGCCUGGGAGUACGGCCGCAAGGUUGAAACUUAAGGAAUUGACGG